Molecule: ribosomal RNA, 406 nt
Filed under: uncultured bacterium
Lineage: Bacteria
Description: partial 16S ribosomal RNA
Rfam family: Bacterial small subunit ribosomal RNA
Source: RNAcentral
AUUGAACGCUGGCGGCAGGCCUAACACAUGCAAGUCGAACGAGUGGCGGACGGGUGAGUAAUGUCUGGGAAACUGCCUGAUGGAGGGGGAUAACUACUGGAAACGGUAGCUAAUCGCGCAUACCCUCGGAUGUGCCCAGAUGGGAAUAGCGAGUAGGUGGGGAAAAGGCUCCCCUAGGCGACGAUCCCUAGCUGGUCUGAGAGGAGGACCAGCAAAACUGGAACUGAGACACGGUCCAGACUCCUACGGGAGGCAGCAGUGGGGAAUAUUGCACAAGGGGCGCAAGCCUGAUGCAGCCAUGCCGCGUGUAUGAAGAAGGCCUUCGGGUUGUAAAGUACUUUCAGCGGGGAGGCGUUACCCGCAGAAGAAGCACCGGCUAACUCCGUGCCAGCAGCCGCGGUAAUUC